CAGCCGCCGCGGUAAUACGAAGGGUGCAAGCGUUGAUCGGAAUUACUGGGCGUAAAGCGUGCGUAGGCGGCUUUGCAAGACAGAUGUGAAAUCCCCGGGCUCAACCUGGGAACUGCAUUUGUGACUGCAAGGCUAGAGUGCGGCAGAGGGAGAUGGAAUUCCGCGUGUAGCAGUGAAACGCGUAGAUAUGCGGAGGAACACCGAUGGCGAAGGCAAUCUCCUGGGCCUGCACUGACGCUCAUGCACGAAAGCGUGGGGAGCAAACAGGAUUAGAUACCCCGGUAGUCCCUGUCUCUUAUAC
This 301-nucleotide ribosomal RNA is filed under the name uncultured bacterium. RNAcentral's name for it is "partial 16S ribosomal RNA". It matches the Rfam family "Bacterial small subunit ribosomal RNA", at positions 509 to 807 of the family's 1533-position model. The record is from RNAcentral.